Molecule: microRNA, 22 nt
Filed under: Macacine gammaherpesvirus 4 (Rhesus lymphocryptovirus)
Lineage: Duplodnaviria; Heunggongvirae; Peploviricota; Herviviricetes; Herpesvirales; Orthoherpesviridae
Description: rlcv-miR-rL1-23-5p
Gene: rlcv-miR-rL1-23-5p
Source: miRBase by way of RNAcentral
UCACUAGUGCUGGCACCUAAGA